AGAGGGCUAGCGCAAAUUGUGUCACCGGCAACUCGCUGAGGCACUUCCUGUUGCAGGUUGCGGUGCCGCGGCGAAUCGUGGCAGCUGCCUCGAGUUUACGGCAACUGCCUCGCCUGUUGCCUCGGCUGAGUGAGGUACCUCGAGCGGUACCACGAAUUCAGGGGCCGGUUCAUCGGUCGAGAGAGGUACCUCUAGCGGUACCUCGAGUUACGGGAGUCUUGCCACGACCUAACGGAGGCAUGCAACGACCAAAGGGAGCGGUGCAUCGGCUGAUAGAGGUACCGGGAGUUUAAGGGAGAGGUGCCACGGCUGUUAACGUACCGGGAGUUUAAGGGAGGGGUGCCACGGCUGUUUCCAUUAAUUUUAGUAUUCAUAUGUAUGCAACAUGUGACAGUAUAAUACAGUUUAAGUACGACUGUUAUCUGCGGGUUGAGUUGCCGUGGCGAGUCGCGGCAGCGGCCACAACUUCACGACAGCUGCCUCGACUUUGCGGCAAUGAUGCCUCGACUGUUGCAGUUUUCUUUUCAUAUUUUGACAAAAUGUGACAAUAUUUUCCUGCACUAUCCUGUACUAUCCUGUACUCUGUGCUUAAGAGUACGUUGUGUUGUUGGUUGUAAUUGGUUUAGUCAUAAAACGCCGAUAAGUGAUGCAAUGUGCAUGUGACCGCAUGAGGCCCAAACAGCAUCAUUCCAGCUAUUGUAAACAUCACGUGAUCAAUCAGCUUGCCACAGUUCCUGUCUUGCAGGUCCUCUGGCGAGCGCAACUGCCACGACUUGCCGCGGCAGUCAACAUGACAUGCUGCAGCAGCUGCCACGGCUUGCAAAGCAGUUAUCUCGACAUGCAGCUAUACCAGGGGUGGGCAAACUACGGGUAUUAUGAAUUAUAAAUUAUAGUAACGACCGCUGUAACACUUCUCCGUUCCCGACUUGAGUUUCCUAAAGCACGAUGACUGCAAAAGACCAGCAUAGUUGGUUUUGCUGUUUAUAUUUGUAAUAGUAUGGCUACUUUUAAGUCAUAUGUGUUUGUGGGUUUUUAAAAUGUUUUUUGUUUAUUUAUUUGUUAUUUUAUUUUAUUAUAUUUAAUAUAUAUAUCACACACACACACUUUUGAAAGACAAGUUAUUGACCCAUUUAGCCACAAGAGGGACCCAUUUAGCCACGAGAGGGAGUAUACCUUUAGGUGAGCAUCACCUGUUUACCAGGAGUAAACAAAUGCAGCUCACAUUCACUAGGCUUUUGAGCACUUUUUAAUAUCACCCCCGUUAUAUAACGUUUUUUUAAACCGUAUUUUUUUUCUAACUUUAUAAAACUAUAGUGAAAUGUUAUUUGUUUGCGCAGCUGUUUUUUUACACAAUUCUAGUACUGGUGUAGUUGCUGUUGCAACACUACAGCACUGCCUGCUUCUGUUGCCAAAAUGUAGUGAAUAUAACCUUUUAUCAUAUAUCUGUAUAUUUUUAAUUGUAUUAGUCUAAUUUACCUUUUUUGUCAUAAAGCUCCAACCAAAUCUAA
Gasterosteus aculeatus aculeatus (three-spined stickleback) is the source of this 1508-nucleotide non-coding RNA. NCBI's taxonomy places the organism in Eukaryota, Metazoa, Chordata, Actinopteri, Perciformes, Gasterosteidae. The record is from RefSeq and is a predicted model, not a curated record.